Molecule: long non-coding RNA, 889 nt
Filed under: Homo sapiens (human)
Lineage: Eukaryota; Metazoa; Chordata; Mammalia; Primates; Hominidae
Description: PRR29 antisense RNA 1
Source: RNAcentral
CCGAGUCCCCCUCCCCCUGACACCCCUGUCCCGGGGGUGAAGAAUGGGUUGGCGGGUUGUGCUGCGGGGACUCCCAGAGGAUGUGCGAGGCAGAAGAGGAAAGAGAACAAGCCAUUUUGCUCAUCAUCAACAAACCUUGACCAAGGAAGUGUCUGCGUGUGCAAUGUGCCAUCUGAACCCUGGAGGCAUAAGCAGUAUGGUCACUUGUCCCAGCAUUGUUGGGAAGUGAAAAUGUAUCCAUGGAAAGAGAGCAGAAAGAUAAGACUACGCCCCGGGGAUAAUGAAAAAGAGAGGACUUGACCGCUGAGGGAUGGAGUUCCAAGGAAGUCAGUCCUUGAUGGGGCCAAGCAGCAGGGGAAGACGGGCGCUAUCAGGCUGGGGACAGAGCCCAAGCCAAGACCCAGGUGUAUGAAUGGACAGGACCUGAGAUGACCCGGUGGGUCAAACUGUCUGACUGUAGAAGAGGAGCUGGGCAGAGAGCAGAGGUCCAGGGACAGGCCAAGGUUUGGAAUGCCAAGGUUUGGAAUUUAGGCUUGGCCCUGUGGGUAAUGGAGAGCUAUCAGUGGGUUUCAAGCAAAAGGGAGAUACCAAGUGCUGUGGCCAGCCAUGUUUCAGGAAGAUUGUUCUUGUCCACCUUUGUUUAUGUCAACCACAUUUAGAAGUAACAAAUGUCUGAUAGGGGGUCAGGUGCGGUGGCUUGUGCCUAUAGUGCCAGCUACUCAGGAGGCUGAGGCAGGAGGAUCGCUCAAGCCCAGGGAUUCAAGGAUGCUGUGAGCUACGAUCACGUCACUGCACUCCAGCCUGGGAAACAGGGUGAGACCCAGUUUCUAAAACAAACGAACAAACAAAUGUCUGAUGGGGAUGCAUCCUCCCAAUAGAAUACUAUUCA